Molecule: transfer RNA, 74 nt
Filed under: Candidatus Woesearchaeota archaeon
Lineage: Archaea; Nanobdellati; Candidatus Woesearchaeota
Description: tRNA-Arg
Rfam family: tRNA
About the family: Transfer RNA (tRNA) molecules are approximately 80 nucleotides in length. Their secondary structure includes four short double-helical elements and three loops (D, anti-codon, and T loops). Further hydrogen bonds mediate the characteristic L-shaped molecular structure. tRNAs have two regions of fundamental functional importance: the anti-codon, which is responsible for specific mRNA codon recognition, and the 3' end, to which the tRNAs corresponding amino acid is attached (by aminoacyl-tRNA synthetases). tRNAs cope with the degeneracy of the genetic code in two manners: having more than one tRNA (with a specific anti-codon) for a particular amino acid; and 'wobble' base-pairing, i.e. permitting non-standard base-pairing at the 3rd anti-codon position.
Source: RNAcentral
GCCCCUAUCGUCUAGCUUGGAUAGGACGCAGGAUUGCGGAUCCUGUAACCGGGGUUCAAAUCCUCGUGGGGGCA